RNAcentral lists this long non-coding RNA (911 nucleotides) under Papio anubis (olive baboon). Its description in RNAcentral is "lncRNA (ENSPANG00000041467.1)". Lineage: Eukaryota; Metazoa; Chordata; Mammalia; Primates; Cercopithecidae. The record is from RNAcentral.
AGCUCUGGCAUGUUUUUGGUAAUUUCUGCAACUGUAUUUCUGAGUUUCUGGAGCUGUAUCUUUGCUUCCUUGUUUUAAACAGCAUGACUGGAUCCAGUAAUUGUAAUGCUUGUUAGGUUGUGCGUUUAGUUCAGUUCCACAAACAUUAAGCACCCACUGUGUACCAGGGUCCGUGCCAAGCCCAUGUAUUGAGAUGAUGAAUGGAAUUAUUUAGAUGUAAGGUAGAAUAUAUGUGUGAUCAUUUCCUCUGAAUAUACUAAGGCUUUAGCCUUCUGUAUAUUUGUAAGACAUAUUUUACAUGUACACUUUUUUGAAUGAUCAUCAAAUGUGGGAGCAAAGGGCCAGUUCAAUUCUCUGAAACUUUAAUUCUGAGGUCCUUACUUCCUUCAGCCUUCAGUCGAUAAAAAUAAAAUGCUUUAAGCUCUUUUGUCUUGGACAUUUGAAGGCAGCACAAGCUAUUAACACAAUGAUGUUGUUUCCAGUGUACAGCACUAUUAAUUGGGUCUUUGUAAUUUUCUCUAUAGGCCAAAGCUUGAUUUGAGUGUCAGCAAGUUAAAACUCAGGCACAUCCAUCUUUCCUGAGGCUCACUCUGAUUGCAGAGGUUGGGGAAGAGAUACUAGAUGGAAGCCCUUCAGGAGGCCCUUGCCAUGAUCCAGGUACAACCCAAAUACAUUCUUCACAUUUCUCUGACUUCCAAGGUGCACUUAUGUGCUUGAGGAACUUUAGAGAGUCCCAGCAUUUUGAUGAUGAACUUCAUGAGUUACUUUGUGGGGAUGCAAUGAAAGGGAAUUUUUUUUCUUUCUCUCUCUCUGUUUCUUUUUUAAUCUGAUUGAGGAGAGACAUAGGGACUGGAAGACAUUCACAUGGCUAUAAAUAAAAGUCAAGAUACAAUUGUUCAGGUAAAAACAAA